CCUACGGGAGGCAGCAGUGGGGAAUUUUGGACAAUGGGCGAAAGCCUGAUCCAGCCAUUCCGCGUGAGUGAAGAAGGCCUUCGGGUUGUAAAGCUCUUUCGCAAGGAAAGAAAACUUAUCUCCUAAUACGGGGUGAGGAUGACGGUACCUUGAUAAGAAGCACCGGCUAACUACGUGCCAGCAGCCGCGGUAAUACGUAGGGUGCGAGCGUUAAUCGGAAUUACUGGGCGUAAAGCGUGCGCAGGCUGUUUUGUAAGUCAGAUGUGAAAUCCCUGGGCUCAACCUAGGAACUGCGUUUGAAACUACAAGGCUAGAGUGUAGCAGAGGGGGGUAGAAUUCCACGUGUAGCAGUGAAAUGCGUAGAGAUGUGGAGGAAUACCAAUGGCGAAGGCAGCCCCCUGGGUUAACACUGACGCUCAUGCACGAAAGCGUGGGGAGCAAACAGGAUUAGAUACCCUGGUAGUCCACGCCCUAAACGAUGUCUACUAGUUGUUGGGAGAGUAAAAUCUCUUAGUAACGCAGCUAACGCGUGAAGUAGACCGCCUGGGGAAUACGGUCGNAAGAUUAAACUAAGAUGACGNGNGAGAGNGCGAGAGACACGAGGAGAG
RNAcentral lists this ribosomal RNA (608 nucleotides) under uncultured bacterium. RNAcentral's name for it is "bacterial SSU rRNA". It matches the Rfam family "Bacterial small subunit ribosomal RNA", at positions 338 to 939 of the family's 1533-position model. The record is from RNAcentral.